Molecule: ribosomal RNA, 253 nt
Filed under: uncultured bacterium
Lineage: Bacteria
Description: partial 16S ribosomal RNA
Rfam family: Bacterial small subunit ribosomal RNA
Source: RNAcentral
UACGGAGGGUCCGAGCGUUAAUCGGAAUUACUGGGCGUAAAGCGCACGCAGGCGGUUUGUUAAGCUAGAUGUGAAAGCCCCGGGCUCAACCUGGGAAUUGCAUUUAGAACUGGCAGACUAGAGUUUUGGAGAGGGGAGUGGAAUUCCAGGUGUAGCGGUGAAAUGCGUAGAGAUCUGGAGGAACAUCAGUGGCGAAGGCGACUCCCUGGCCAAAGACUGACGCUCAUGUGCGAAAGUGUGGGUAGCGAACAGG